UUUUUUUUUUUGAGACUGAGCCUCACUCUGUAGCCCAAGCUGAAGUGCAGUGGCGCCAUCUUGUUUCAUUGCAACCUCCACCUCCCAGGCUCAAACAAUUCUCAUGCCUCAGCCUCCCUAGUAGCUGGGACUACAGGUGCAGGCCACCACACCUGGCUAACUUUUUGUAUUUUAGUAGAGACGGGGUUUCAUCAUGUUGCCCAGGGUGGUCUCAAAUUCCUGAGCUCAGGCGAUCUGACCGGCCUCAGCCUCCCAAAGUGCUGGAAUUACAGGCAUGAGCCACCACGCCCAUCCUUUAGGCUAUUUUCUUUCUUUCUUUUCUUUUCUUUUUUCUUUUUUUUGAGACAGGGUCUCGUUCUGUCACCCAGUCUGGAGUGCGUUGGUACGAUCUCCGUUCAUUGCAGCCUUUGGCUAUUUUUUAAUUGUUUGCUUGUUGUUUUCUUACUGUUGAGUUUUGAGAGUUCUUGGUAUAUUCUAGACAUUAGUCUACUAGAUACUAGAUGUGUGAUUGCAAAUAUUUUCUUCCAGUCUGUAGCUUGUCUUUUAAUCCUUUUAACAAGGUCUUUUGCAGAGCAAAAGUUUUCAUUUUGAUCAGAAACAAUUUAUCAAUUUUUUGUUUUAUGGAUUAUGCAUUUGGUGUCAAGUCUAAGAACUCUGUGUAGUCCUACCUCAAGAGAUUUUCUCCUGUGUUUUUCUCUAAAAGUUGUAUAGAUUUACAUUUUAUGCUUAAGUCUGUAAGCUAUUUUGAGUUACUUUUUGUCUGGAGUGUGAGAUUUAGAUCAAGGUUCAUUUGUCUCUACAUGUCCCAUUGCUCCAGCACAGUUUGUUGAAAAGGCUGCCUUUCCUCCACUGAAUUGCUUUUGCACUUUUGUAAAAUUCAGCUGCCUGCUUGUACAGGUCUAUUUCUGGGUUCUCUCUUUUGUUUCUUUGGUCUGUGUCUAUUCCUCCACCAAUACCACACAGUCUUGAUUAUUGAAGUUCUCUAUAAAUCUUGAAAUUGAAUAGGCUGGUUCCUCUCACUUUAUUCUUCAUUUACAAGACUUUUUUUUUUUUUUUUUUUUUUUUUUUUUUUUGGUAGAGAAGGAAUCUCUCCAUGUUGCCCAGGCUGGUCUUGAACUCCCGGCCUUAAGCCACCCUCCCACUGUGACCUCCCAAUGCACUGGGAUUACAAAUGUGAGCUACCACACUCAGUCUACAAGAUUCUUUGAACGAUUCUAGUUCCUUCACCUUUCAAUAUAAAUUUUAAAAUAACCUUGUUUAUAUUCAUUAAAAAUUUUGCUGGGAUUAUGAUAGGAAUUGCAUUAAACAUGUAUAUUCUUCGAGAACUGACAUUUUUACUAUUAAGUCUUCCAAUCCAUGAACAUGGGUAUAUAUGUCCAUUUAUUUAGUUGUUCUUUGAUUCCUUCAUAAAUGUUGUAUAGUUUUCAGCAUACAAGUUCUAUACACAUUUGGUCAAAUUUAUACCUUUUUUAAAAUAAGUAAUUAUAAAUGUUAGGUAUAUUUAAUUUCAGUUUCCACAUGUUAAUUUGUAGCAUAUAGAGGUAAAAUUGAUUUUUGUAUGUUGAUCUUGUAUCCUGUAAUCUUGUUGAACUCACUUAUUAAAUACAGAUAUAGGGUUCUUUUUUUUGGCAUCUAUUGUCUUCUGUAAUCCAGGAGGGUUUGGGUUUUUGGUGUUUGGCUUUGUUUGUAGCUUACUUGGGGUUUUCUACAUAGACCAUCAUUAUAUUUGAAGGGAGUUUCUUGUAGACAACAUAUACUUAUAUCAUUUUAAAAAAUCCAUUCUGCCAAUGUCUGUUUUUUAGUUGGUAUAUUUAGACCAUUUACAUUUAAUGUAAUUAUCAUAUUGUUAUGGUUUAAGUCUGCCAUUUUAUUUUUAUUUCGGUUCUCUCAUUUAUUUUUUCUUUUUCUUUUCUUCUUCUAGGUUACUUGCACAGGAACUUUUUCUUGUUUUGUUUGGUUUGGUUUGGUUUUGAGAUGGAGUCUCGCUCUGUUGCCCAGGCUGGAGUGCAAUGGUGCCAUCUUGGCUAACUGCAACCUCCGUCUCCCAGAUUCAAGCAAUUCUCC
This 2064-nucleotide long non-coding RNA is filed under the name Homo sapiens (human). Its description in RNAcentral is "HSALNT0060204". The record is from RNAcentral. Lineage: Eukaryota; Metazoa; Chordata; Mammalia; Primates; Hominidae.